GGGCUGGGAUCUGUGAGCCCAAAAAAGCAACGUUCCACCAAAGUCAAGGGAGGCUGGAAUGUCAAAUUGGAGGUGUCUAGGAGUGUCAAAUAUUGCAGAAGGUGUUAAAAAGGACCGAAAAGUGUCUGCUGAGAUUUGCCAUCCAGAAGGGCAUUGUGAGAGCAGCGAUGAUGAUGUCUGCAAUGUGCUUGGCCCUUCAUAUGUGUCUGAUCCAGUUUACUUUCGGGGACAUCCGUCAUCACCAUUGGAAUCCAGACACACACCAUGAAACAUCAACAGACUGAGGCCAACAAAGGUGAAGACACUUGCCUAAAUAACACAGCUUAUUUGCAGAAGAGCUAACAAGCGUUGAGUCGAUACUAUUUUAGCUAUAUUGUGUGACUUUUUGUACCAGAGAACUUGCAAAAAUCAUCAGGGCCAGAUGGCCUGCAAGAUAUUGGAUCAUUAGGACAUAAAAAUUAGGUAAAAUCAAGAACGUCGGUGCUCACCCAGUAUGAGGAUCAUACGAAUUGGUGGUUGGAAAAGCAUUGAAAUGUCACUGACUUUGACUGUCAGAUGUGUGCGGUCAGGCAGGCAUGUGUUUCUCGGAUGCUCAUUGUAGCUCUUGCUUAUCCAUUUUUAUUACCUGAUCCAGGUGGGUGUGUAAUGCUACAGGUAAUGAACCCAGUGAACUCAAGAUCUGCCUCCUCCAAGUGUGGUCAAAUUCAAUAAUUUAGGAUUAAGACAAUUAUUUAUAAUUAAAAUCCCGAAGUAAAUAUUUACUAAGCACCUCCUAAAUUCAGAACUGACACCUGUUGUUCGGGUGGACAGUCAGGGUCUUCGAAGCAAUUCACACACCACAUUCCAUGUUCUUCAGUGACUCACAAGGAAGUUGGCAUUAUUGUGUGUGGAACAGCAGCAGAGCUUACUAACAUUCUCAGCUACAAAACAAAAAAUAACGAACCAGAGACUUCAGCUCAGUUCUUGUGAUUGGAGUUGUGUUUCCUCCAGAGCGAUGAGCAUGGUAUAAGACGCCUCGCCCUGCACCCCAUCACGGCUCUCCCCAGACAGCCCUGACAGAGGGACAGGGAGGAGUCUCAUUUUGCAUCAAGAGCUUUCCAUGGGUCAUCUUAUUUCACCCUGCACGAUGCUGUGUGGUCUCAUCACCACUGAACACACAAGACCCUGAGACUCUGAGAGGUAGACACUGCACUCUACAGCUGCGAUUCACACCUGGAUCUGCUGGCUCAAGGUCUGCACUCUUUCCACUGCACCACAGUAACCCACAUGAAUCAGCAAUGAAAAGGCAAGACGGAGUAAGCUUCAAGCACUGAUGACCAUCUGUUUUAGCCCAAGUUGCCUAUGAAACAGAGCGUUAUGCAGAAGCUGAAGUACUAAUGCCUUAUUAGAGGAUGCAAGCCCAGGGAAGCAAGAGUGAGAGGUCCUGGGGACUUUUUCUUCUUGUGUCUGUACCUCAUCAGUUAAUUCUGGCUCCAUACAGAGUGCAAAAAUAUCUACUCGCUGCUCUAGGAUCCCCUACUGUUAAUCAUAGAAAGCCAAUCGCCGGGUAUGAACUUGCAGAAAGCACAAUCUUUAGGAACUGAGUGCUCCUUAAUGCCUUUUCACAGAAGGAAUUAUUUCCCUCCAGUUGCCCCUGUGGUUUGUUUGCCAUGGUGUCCUCACCUAAGCAUUUGAGGAAUAAAACAAAAGUGAAUG
This is a long non-coding RNA of Pan troglodytes (chimpanzee), 1695 nucleotides long. RefSeq lists it as uncharacterized. The record is from RefSeq and is a predicted model, not a curated record. The transcript is spliced from 7 exons. Lineage: Eukaryota; Metazoa; Chordata; Mammalia; Primates; Hominidae.